RNAcentral lists this ribosomal RNA (495 nucleotides) under uncultured bacterium. RNAcentral's name for it is "partial 16S ribosomal RNA". It matches the Rfam family "Bacterial small subunit ribosomal RNA", at positions 28 to 507 of the family's 1533-position model. The record is from RNAcentral.
GACGAACGCUGGCGGCGUGCCUAAUACAUGCAAGUAGAACGCUGAAGGAGGAGCUUGCUUCUCUGGAUGAGUUGCGAACGGGUGAGUAACGCGUAGGUAACCUGCCUGGUAGCGGGGGAUAACUAUUGGAAACGAUAGCUAAUACCGCAUAAUAGCAGUUAUUGCAUGAUAACUGUUUGAAAGGUGCAAUUGCACCACUACCAGAUGGACCUGCGUUGUAUUAGCUAGUUGGUGGGGUAACGGCUCACCAAGGCGACGAUACAUAGCCGACCGGAGAGGGUGAUCGGCCACACUGGGACUGAGACACGGCCCAGACGCCUACGGGAGGCAGCAGUAGGGAAUCUUCGGCAAUGGACGGAAGUCUGACCGAGCAACGCCGCGUGAGGGAAGAAGGGUUUCGGAUCGUAAAGCUCGGUUGUAAGAGAAGAACGAGGGUGAGAGUGGAAAGUUCACACUGUGACGGUAUCUUACCAGAAAGGGACGGCUAACUACGUG